This 488-nucleotide ribosomal RNA is filed under the name uncultured bacterium. RNAcentral describes it as "bacterial SSU rRNA". It matches the Rfam family "Bacterial small subunit ribosomal RNA", at positions 28 to 520 of the family's 1533-position model. The record is from RNAcentral.
GACGAACGCUGGCGGCGUGCUUAACACAUGCAAGUGGAGCGACGAACCAGGGCUUGCCCUGGGGCAGAGCCGCGAACGGGUGAGUAACACGUGGGUAACCUACCCCGAUGACCGGGACAACCCGAGGAAACUCGGGCUAAUACCGGAUGUUCUCGCUUCUCGUAAGGGAAGCGAGCAAAGAUAGCUUCGGCCUUCGCAUCGGGACGGGCCCGCGGCCCAUUAGCUUGUUGGUGGGGUAACGGCCUACCAAGGCUGCGAUGGGUAGCUGGUCUGAGAGGACGAUCAGCCACACUGGGACUGAGACACGGCCCAGACUCCUACGGGAGGCAGCAGUGGGGAAUCUUGCGCAAUGCGCGAAAGCGUGACGCAGCAACGCCGCGUGGGGGAAGAAGGCCUUCGGGUUGUAAACCCCUUUCAGUUGGGACGAAGCGUGCGAGUGACGGUACCUACAGAAGAAGCACCGGCCAACUACGUGCCAGCAGCCGCCG